Gossypium raimondii (Peruvian cotton) is the source of this 548-nucleotide long non-coding RNA. RefSeq lists it as uncharacterized. NCBI's taxonomy places the organism in Eukaryota, Viridiplantae, Streptophyta, Magnoliopsida, Malvales, Malvaceae. The record is from RefSeq and is a predicted model, not a curated record. The transcript has 2 exons.
CUCAUCCCCUCCCCCUUAUUCCCAAAUUAGUUCUAAAACAAAAAUCCCUAAGUGUCUGGCUGUUUGUCGCUCACCACCUCUACCCGUCCAACACUGCUACCUGUUGACAGUAGUCUCCACUUUGACGACCACUCUGUCUCCCGCUUCCUUUGUCACCAACGCACAACUAAUUUCUUCAGCCGGCCCUCCCUAAAUUUCCUCAUCCUUAAUCCCUGUCGACUAUUUUCUGUCACUUCGUCUGUUGCCUGCUUCCAUUAUUACAGCAGGACUAAGAACUCAAAUCCAACUCAGGUUGGCAGGUAGAAAAUUCAGUUAUCAGGUGGAAUUAUUGUUUGCUCCUACGUUAUCGUAAUCGAGAAAAUUCUGGAUCAAAGUUUGAUGGUUGACUCUAAGAAAUUUACAAUUGAUUGUCAUUGUAAUAGUUGGAAAGUGUUAAUACUUUUGAGUUGUGUUUUCCUUAAUUAGAAUAAGACUAAAAUCUAAUUGUUUGAAUUAGACAAAUAUGUUGUUCUCUGUUGUAUCUGGCUUAAUGUGAUCUGGUUGUACAA